This 254-nucleotide ribosomal RNA is filed under the name uncultured bacterium. RNAcentral's name for it is "partial 16S ribosomal RNA". It matches the Rfam family "Bacterial small subunit ribosomal RNA", at positions 524 to 776 of the family's 1533-position model. The record is from RNAcentral.
UACGUAGGGUGCGAGCGUUGUCCGGAAUUAUUGGGCGUAAAGAGCUCGUAGGCGGUGUGUCACGUCGAUCGUGAAAACUUACAGCUUAACUGUGAGCGUGCGGUCGAUACGGGCAUCACUGGAGUUCGGCAGGGGAGACUGGAAUUCCUGGUGUAGCGGUGAAAUGCGUAGAUAUCUGGAGGAACACCGGUGGCGAAGGCGGCAUCCUGGACCACGACUGACGCUGAGGAGCGAAAGCCAGGGGAGCAAACGGG